This 159-nucleotide ribosomal RNA is filed under the name uncultured bacterium. RNAcentral describes it as "partial 16S ribosomal RNA". It matches the Rfam family "Bacterial small subunit ribosomal RNA", at positions 355 to 531 of the family's 1533-position model. The record is from RNAcentral.
UGGGGAAUAUUGCACAAUGGGGGAAACCCUGAUGCAGCGACGCCGCGUGAGCGAUGAAGUAUUUCGGUAUGUAAAGCUCUAUCAGCAGGGAAGAAAAUGACGGUACCUGACUAAGAAGCCCCGGCUAACUACGUGCCAGCAGCCGCGUAAUCUCGAUCU